UGGGGAAUUUUGGACAAUGGGCGCAAGCCUGAUCCAGCAAUGCCGCGUGCAGGAUGAAGGCCUUCGGGUUGUAAACUGCUUUUGUACGGAACGAAAAAGCUCUCUCUAAUACAGGGGGUGAAUGACGGUACCGUAAGAAUAAGCACCGGCUAACUACGUGCCAGCAGCCGCGGUAAUACGUAGGGUGCAAGCGUUAAUCGGAAUUACUGGGCGUAAAGCGUGCGCAGGCGGUUUUGUAAGACAGAGGUGAAAUCCCCGGGCUCAACCUGGGAACUGCCUUUGUGACUGCAAAGCUGGAGUGCGGCAGAGGGGGAUGGAAUUCCGCGUGUAGCAGUGAAAUGCGUAGAUAUGCGGAGGAACACCGAUGGCGAAGGCAAUCCCCCGGGCCUGCACUGACGCUCAUGCACGAAAGCGUGGGGAGCAAACA
This 427-nucleotide ribosomal RNA is filed under the name uncultured bacterium. Its description in RNAcentral is "bacterial SSU rRNA". It matches the Rfam family "Bacterial small subunit ribosomal RNA", at positions 355 to 774 of the family's 1533-position model. The record is from RNAcentral.